Molecule: long non-coding RNA, 1605 nt
Filed under: Equus asinus (donkey)
Lineage: Eukaryota; Metazoa; Chordata; Mammalia; Perissodactyla; Equidae
Description: lncRNA (ENSEASG00005037213.1)
Source: RNAcentral
GAGACAACCCUGCCAUCGAGGAGAUUACAGGCCAGAGAAAGAGUUCUCAACCCUGGUCCUGUCAAGACUUCCCACUGACGUCAACUCGAGGCCUAAUCUUCCCACACUGACCAUUUUUUCACUUCCAAUAUAAUUUUUAAAAAAUUAAAUACACUAUGUAUCACUUUUGGAAAAGGGAAGAAGCUGGCACGAAGUGUGAAAUCAAGCACAAAAAAGUUAAGAUGUUGGUAAUAAAUAUAUGUCACCCUUCAUGAACUAAUCUGAGAAUGGCCAAGUGCAAGCUGAAAAAGCAAAAAGACGGACAACAACGGAGUUAACAAAACGGGGUGGAAAUAUUGGUAACACACGGCUAGGUGCUAUUUUAAAAGAAAAAAAUGUCAUUAGGACAUAAAAAGAUUAGAAAUCAGAGCCCAAAGGAUUCAGACAGGGACAGAGCAGGACUCUGAUGAGGCAGGUAAGGUGCCUGGCCUAGACAAGGGCCUUGUCACGAUUCCAGUGUCUCUAGGUCAGGAAAGUAUGAAAAAGCAAAGAGAGGCAGGUGGGGACUGGGCCAACAGACAACACGUCACUCCUCUAAAGCUGUCAUUUUGUCAAGUGCAAUUCUGCCGUGGAACGGUCUUUCAGUUUCCCAAGAAAAGAAAAGAAGAGAAAUCAGCUCUUUAUUUGAAAGUGUCUGGUUUUUAAAGUUUGACAAGUUUAAUUGACACUUUGAAGAAACACUCAACAAGAAGACAAAACACUUGCACAACCAACCAUCUGCAGACAGAGUCUGGCCCGAGCCCACCCGUUUGCAGCCUCUGUCUUGGAACAAGAGCUAGCUUUCAGGAGAGCAUCUGGCUUCCAUCAGAAUCUGACUCACCUUCCACGCAAGGGCUGGUGCAGACCUCGGAGAUCAGAAAGCGUGUGGCUCUCCAGGUCCGCCCGUGCCUAAAAUCCCUUCACUUGUGUGUUUUAAGCAUGAGGCGCUCACCAGAAACCUGACCGUGGUUCCUGCACAGAGUGGGUUUGCUGUGAGCCAGAGACCAAAGCUUACAUGAGCCUCGAAGCCUAGCUGAGUUUUUGUAUUCUCUUUCUUAUUGAGUCUCACCCAAACUGUGUCAGCUUUGUCUCAUGAUGAUGUCUCCUGCAUUCAGGGCACUGGUUAAAUGUGUGGAGGUGAUGAUGGUGAUUAUUGGGGGUAAUAAUAGCUGUAGUUGUAAACAUUUGGGUAUGAACAAUGGAGCAACAGCCAAGAAUUACACAGACCCUUGCUGGGCAUUUGGUGGCACAUCACCCACAGCUCAGUGACCAGGGAGUCUGUAAAAGUGUCGCUCUGUCCCACCACCCUGGGGAGGGCAGCUGGGAGCUGCAUCUGUUUCUAAGAGUUUAUCUAAGUGUUCGAUGGGAUCCUUUCUUUCGAUGAAAUGGCCUCUUGGACAGCAAUGUCAUCUGGAAGAACCUGGGAAUCUUGUGAAGCGAUGAAAUGGCCCUUGACCUUCGUAAGUCGAAGGUGAAUUUUCUAAAAUCCUGACAAGGGGUAGAGCCGUGUGAAAGGAGCUGGAAGUCCCCUCUGAUUUGGUCCCAGGUCAGCUGCCUUCAUCCGGAGGAGCAGGCACUCCUGGGGUA